GGCCCUAUCGUCUAGUGGUUUAGGACGCCGCCCUCUCACGGCGGUAACAUGGGUUCGAAUCCCAUUAGGGUCACCA
RNAcentral lists this transfer RNA (76 nucleotides) under Alicyclobacillus sp. RNAcentral describes it as "tRNA-Glu". It matches the Rfam family "tRNA". From Rfam's summary of the family: Transfer RNA (tRNA) molecules are approximately 80 nucleotides in length. Their secondary structure includes four short double-helical elements and three loops (D, anti-codon, and T loops). Lineage: Bacteria; Bacillati; Bacillota; Bacilli; Caryophanales; Alicyclobacillaceae. The record is from RNAcentral. RNAcentral also lists the same sequence under 3 other names.